RNAcentral lists this long non-coding RNA (229 nucleotides) under Capsicum annuum. Its description in RNAcentral is "long non-coding RNA (CANN_LNC005178)". The record is from RNAcentral. Lineage: Eukaryota; Viridiplantae; Streptophyta; Magnoliopsida; Solanales; Solanaceae.
GAAUCUUUUGCAUCCAUGGUUCAAGAAAACACUUAAGAUAAGCCUUCAUAUGAAAAGCUAGAGGCUAGAGAACUUAUUUUAUAUAUUGAAAAUCAGCAUAUUCCUGCACAAGAUAAUUCGGAAGAAGCCUGGCGAAUACUCAAGAACUAUCUUACUGCUAAUGUCUAUUUUACUGGAGAAUCUUACAAAACUCGAACUUAUUAUGAACACAUACUCGUACAGACAUUCA